CUGAUUGUUCUGGGGGAGUGGGACUGGGGCGGUGGGGUGGUGGUAGGAAAAGCCUUAGAGGUAGAGGGAGGUGUGACAAGAAUCCCGAGGAUCCGUCCUCUCCUGCUUUCAGGCUCCUGGGGUCAUGAGCUGGAUGCCAUUGAUAAGGCCGAGCCGAGUGAUGGGAAAGAGAAGAGGGGUUCUGUGUUCCACUUGUUAGGGUUCCUCGCCCGAGAGGAAGAGGAGACCCAGGAUACUGAGAAGCGGGGUCGGAAUGGAAAAUGCAGGCAUCGAAUGUUUGGGCUUCAAACAAGUGACGGAUAUAGUACAUCCUUGGAUAAUAGGUUCUGCAUAAUGCUCUGCAUAAUGGGGAGUAUAUUGCCUUCUCCUUCCCCUUCCCCUUCUUCUGUGCCCAGCCCUUCCAUGGCCUUGGUCAGCUCCUCUUCAGACAUGCUGGAGUUCUGAAAAGGAUAGAAAUAGAGAUAAUAGCAUCAUGAGAGUGAGCAGAAAUCUUAUUACCUACUACCGCAAUCUACCUGAGGAGAAAGCACCAUGUUGAUACUUCGGAACAUUUUGAUACAAGCCACCACUUGAUUAGUUAGAUAAGGAGAAUGUCAGCAAAGAUGCCUCACUGCUCACCCACUCUCCCUG
Long non-coding RNA from Dromiciops gliroides (monito del monte), 630 nucleotides. RefSeq lists it as uncharacterized. The record is from RefSeq and is a predicted model, not a curated record. NCBI's taxonomy places the organism in Eukaryota, Metazoa, Chordata, Mammalia, Microbiotheria, Microbiotheriidae. The transcript is spliced from 3 exons.